GAAGGAACUUUGAUAACUUUUAAAGACCUAGUUAAUAGGUAUGCUUUAGGAGGGGCUUGCGCCAUAUUAGUUAGUUGGUAGGGUAAUGGCCUACCAAGACGAUGAUGUGUAGCUGGACUGAGAGGUUGAACAGCCACAUUGGGACUGAGACACGGCCCAAACUCCUACGGGAGGCAGCAGUAGGGAAUUUUCGGCAAUGGAGGAAACUCUGACCGAGCAACGCCGCGUGAAUGACGAAGUACUUCGGUAUGUAAAGUUCUUUUAUCGAGGAAGAAAAGCAAAUGGCGAACCAUUUGUUUGCCGGUACUUGAUGAAUAAGCCCCGGCUAAUUAUGUGCCAGCAGCCGCGGUAAGACAUAAGGGGCAAGUGUUAUCCGGAAUUAUUGGGCGUAAAGGGUGCGUAGGCGGUCUAGUAAGUCAGUGGUGUAAUGGCAACGCUUAACGUUGUCCGGCUAUUGAAACUGCUAAACUUGAGUUAGAUAGAGGCGAGUGGAAUUCCAUGUGUAGCGGUAAAAUGCGUAAAUAUAUGGAGGAACACCAGAGGCGUAGGCGGCUCGCUGGGUCUUAACUGACGCUGAGGCACGAAAGCGUGGGGAGCAAACAGGAUUAGAUACCCUGGUAGUCCACGCCGUAAACGAUGAGUACUAAGUGUCGGGUUAAACCGGUACUGAAGUUAACACAUUAAGUACUCCGCCUGAGUAGUACGUACGCAAGUAUGAAACUUAAAGGAAUUGACGGGACUCCGCACAAGCGGUGGAUCAUGUUGUUUAAUUCGAAGAUACCCGAAAAACCUUACCAGGUCUUGACAUGUUUUUGCAAAAUGAUAGUAAUAUCGUGGAGGUUACCAGAAACACAGGUGGUGCAUGGUUGUCGUCAGCUCGUGUCGUGAGAUGUUAGGUUAAGUCCUAAAACGAGCGAAACCCUUAUCGUUAGUUGCCAGCACGUUAUGGUGGGGACUUUAACGAGACUGCCAAUGAUAAAUUGGAGGAAGGUGAGGAUCACGUCAAAUCAGCAUGCCCCUUAUGACCUGGGCUACAAACGUGAUACAAUGGCUGUUACAAAGGGUAGCUGAAACGCAAGUUCUUGGCCAAUCCCCAAAAACAGUCCCAGUCCGGAUUGAAGUCUGCAACUCGACUUCAUGAAGUUGGAAUCGCUAGUAAUCGCGAAUUCAGCAGACGGCGGUUGGCCUA
This 1189-nucleotide ribosomal RNA is filed under the name Praxelis witches'-broom phytoplasma. RNAcentral describes it as "bacterial SSU rRNA". It matches the Rfam family "Bacterial small subunit ribosomal RNA", at positions 173 to 1368 of the family's 1533-position model. The record is from RNAcentral. Lineage: Bacteria; Bacillati; Mycoplasmatota; Mollicutes; Acholeplasmatales; Acholeplasmataceae.